Molecule: ribosomal RNA, 470 nt
Filed under: uncultured bacterium
Lineage: Bacteria
Description: bacterial SSU rRNA
Rfam family: Bacterial small subunit ribosomal RNA
Source: RNAcentral
GUGAAAGACGGUGGCUCAACCAUCGUUAGCCAUUGAAACUGGUAGUCUUGAGUGCAGACAGGGAUGCUGGAACUCGUGGUGUAGCGGUGAAAUGCUUAGAUAUCACGAUGAACUCCGAUCGCGAAGGCAGGUGUCCGGGCUGCAACUGACGCUGAGGCUCGAAAGUGUGGGUAUCAAACAGGAUUAGAUACCCUGGUAGUCCACACAGUAAACGAUGUAUACUCGCGGUUUGCGAUAUAGUGUAAGCCGCCAAGCGAAAGCAUUAAGUAUACCACCUGGGGAGUACGCCGGCAACGGUGAAACUCAAAGGAAUUGACGGGGGCCCGCACAAGCGGAGGAACAUGUGGUUUAAUUCGAUGAUACGCGAGGAACCUUACCCGGGCUUGAACUAAGAGUGACAGAUUUAGAGAUAGAUCUUUCUUCGGACACUCUUGGAGGUGCUGCAUGGUUGUCGUCAGCUCGUGUCGUGA